ACCUCAUUCAUUUCUACCGGUCUCUAGUUGUGCUGCUUCUGCUGGUGUCAUCGCCGUCCCUCCUCUGCUGCCGCCCCCGCAAGGCUUCGCCGUCGUCUAGGCCAUUUCCAGCGACUCGUCGCACGCUUUUCUAUAUACUUCGUUCCACCCCAACCGCAACCAUUGACGCCAUGUCGGGUUAUUCGAGUGACCGAGACCGCGGCCGGGACCGAGGGUUUGGUGCACCUCGAUUUGGAGGAAGUAGGGCAGGGCCCUUAUCUGGAAAGAAGUUUGGAAACCCUGGGGAAAAAUUAGUUAAAAAGAAGUGGAAUCUUGAUGAGCUGCCCAAAUUUGAGAAGAAUUUUUAUCAAGAGCACCCUGAUUUGGCUAGGCGCACAGCACAAGAGGUGGAAACAUACAGAAGAAGCAAGGAAAUUACGGUUAGAGGUCACAACUGCCCGAAGCCAGUUCUAAAUUUUUAUGAAGCCAAUUUCCCUGCAAAUGUCAUGGAUGUUAUUGCAAGACAGAAUUUCACUGAACCCACUGCUAUUCAAGCUCAGGGAUGGCCAGUUGCUCUAAGUGGAUUGGAUAUGGUUGGAGUGGCACAGACUGGAUCUGGGAAAACAUUGUCUUAUUUGCUUCCUGCCAUUGUCCACAUCAAUCAUCAGCCAUUCCUAGAGAGGGGCGAUGGGCCUAUUUGUUUGGUGCUGGCACCAACUCGGGAACUGGCCCAACAGGUGCAGCAAGUAGCUGCUGAAUAUUGUAGAGCAUGUCGCUUGAAGUCUACUUGUAUCUAUGGUGGUGCUCCUAAGGGACCACAAAUACGUGAUUUGGAGAGAGGUGUGGAAAUCUGUAUUGCAACACCUGGAAGACUGAUUGACUUUUUAGAGUGUGGGAAAACCAAUCUGAGAAGAACAACCUACCUUGUCCUUGAUGAAGCAGAUAGAAUGCUUGAUAUGGGCUUUGAACCCCAAAUAAGGAAGAUUGUGGAUCAAAUAAGACCUGAUAGGCAAACUCUAAUGUGGAGUGCGACUUGGCCAAAAGAAGUAAGACAGCUUGCUGAAGAUUUCCUGAAAGACUAUAUUCAUAUAAACAUUGGUGCACUUGAACUGAGUGCAAACCACAACAUUCUUCAGAUUGUGGAUGUGUGUCAUGAUGUAGAAAAGGAUGAAAAACUUAUUCGUCUAAUGGAAGAGAUCAUGAGUGAGAAGGAGAAUAAAACCAUUGUUUUUGUGGAAACCAAAAGAAGAUGUGAUGAGCUUACCAGAAAAAUGAGGAGAGAUGGGUGGCCUGCCAUGGGUAUCCAUGGUGACAAGAGUCAACAAGAGCGUGACUGGGUUCUAAAUGAAUUCAAACAUGGAAAAGCUCCUAUUCUGAUUGCUACAGAUGUGGCCUCCAGAGGGCUAGGUUAGUACAAACUCGCAUUCAUGGCUUGGUUUCCCAGAAGAUCUCCAUUUAACUUUUUUAAAGAAAGUUUAUUGCUUUCUUUAACCUGCAUUUUUUCUAAGUUUUUUUCACAUAAAGGUGCUGUCUUUGUGGCAAGGCCUAGGCAUGACAAUCGGAGGACUCGAGGGGGAUGGAGGACUAGUGAUCGGCUGGCUGCUUCCAGUCGAUUAGAGAGGUGAAAAAGCUGAACGUGUGCCAGUAAUCUUCAAAAGGCAGAACAUAUCACCUCUGCCCCGUAAACUGUUCUCUCCGAGGGAAAAAAUGGAAGUUAUCCUCACAGUUCACUGCCGUGGUAUUUCUUCUGUCCCAUGCUUUGCAUGACUGCCAUGGUACAGCCUUGUUUCAAACUGUUCACUGUGAUCUGUGGGUCUUUGAGUUUCAGUGAGUUUGCUGAAAUGUCGAAGAAAUAUUUCCAAACUUCAAUGUUCAAUGAAAUUUUUGUUCAAGUUUGAAAUGGAGAGAGCAGCUUUAAAAGGUACUAAGCCUUUUACAAAUUGGUGAGUACUGGCACAUGAGAUCUAGAGCAGGAGCAACUUCUCACACAUAGUAAGUGGGAAAAGAAAAUGCUUUGAAAGUUCCUCCCUCACCUACACAGUAGUCGUCAUGUCGAGACCUGCCAGAGAGAGACACAAUUCUCAAGUGAAUCCUGGCUUCUUGGAAGCGCUUGCCUAGACGAGACACAGUGCAUAAAAACAACUUUUGGGGGACAGGUAUGUUUUCUUGCAGCUGCGGUUGUAAGGUCUUGGCAAGACAAGCAGUGUGGCCAGAAUUUUGAACUUCUGAUGAAUGUGUAAUGCAAAGGACCUUGUACAUUUUUUUGUUUCAAGGUCCUCAAAAUGAGCACAUGAAGAGGUUGCUGUGAAACUUUAAGUGGCCCUACUGCGCAGAAGCAUUCAGAUGUCACUUGAUGAUCUGUAAGGGAACUUGCUGAUUUGGGAAUGUGUUUAGGGAAUACACAUUCCUUUUGACAGGGUCUGUCACUGGGUGGGUGAUGAAUUAUACAGAUGACAUGUGCUUUUUUUUCUUUUUUCAACCUCAAUGGUAUUCCUACAGGAAAUGGAUAACCAUUUUAACUGUAUUUUUUGCAGCCCGUACCUUCUUGGGAAUACAAUUGUCUAACUUUUUAUUUUUGGUCUGGCUGUUGUGGUGUGCAAAACUCCGUACAUUGCUAUUUUGCCACACUGCAACACCUUACAGAUGUGGAAGAUGUGAAAUUUGUCAUCAAUUAUGACUACCCUAACUCCUCAGAGGAUUAUAUUCAUCGAAUUGGAAGAACUGCUCGCAGUACCAAAACAGGCACAGCAUACACUUUCUUUACACCUAAUAACAUAAAGCAAGUGAGCGACCUUAUCUCUGUGCUUCGUGAAGCUAAUCAAGCAAUUAAUCCCAAGUUGCUUCAGUUGGUCGAAGACAGAGGUUCAGGUCGUUCCAGGGGUAGAGGAGGCAUGAAGGAUGACCGUCGGGACAGAUACUCUGCGGGCAAAAGGGGUGGAUUUAAUACCUUUAGAGACAGGGAAAAUUAUGACAGAGGUUACUCUAGCCUGCUUAAAAGAGAUUUUGGGGCAAAAACUCAGAAUGGUGUUUACAGUGCUGCAAAUUACACCAAUGGGAGCUUUGGAAGUAAUUUUGUGUCUGCUGGUAUACAGACCAGUUUUAGGACUGGUAAUCCAACAGGGACUUACCAGAAUGGUUAUGAUAGCACUCAGCAGUACGGAAGUAAUGUUCCAAAUAUGCACAAUGGUAUGAACCAACAGGCAUAUGCAUAUCCUGCUACUGCAGCCGCACCUAUGAUUGGUUAUCCAAUGCCAACAGGAUAUUCUCAAUAAGACUUUAGAAGUAUAUGUAAAUGUCUGUUUUUCAUAAUUGCUCUUUAUAUUGUGUGUUAUCUGACAAGAUAGUUAUUUAAGAAACAUGGGAAUUGCAGAAAUGACUGCAGUGCAGCAGUAAUUAUGGUGCACUUUUUCGCUAUUUAAGUUGGAUAUUUCUCUACAUUCCUGAAACAAUUUUUAGGUUUUUUUUGUACUAGAAAAUGCAGGCAGUGUUUUCACAAAAGUAAAUGUACAGUGAUUUGAAAUACAAUAAAUGAAGGCAAUGCAUGGCCUUCCAAUAAAAAAUAUUUGAAGACUGAAUUAA
This 3558-nucleotide small RNA is filed under the name Pongo abelii (Sumatran orangutan). RNAcentral's name for it is "retained intron". The stretch from base 2557 to 2623 matches the Rfam family "mir-3064 microRNA precursor family". The record is from RNAcentral. Lineage: Eukaryota; Metazoa; Chordata; Mammalia; Primates; Hominidae.